GGUCGUGUAGAUCAAUGGUAGAUCGCAAGAUUACGGGUCUUGAGGUUGCGGGUUCAAGUCCCGUCACGAUCA
Molecule: non-coding RNA, 72 nt
Organism: Nymphaea colorata (pocket water lily)
Lineage: Eukaryota; Viridiplantae; Streptophyta; Magnoliopsida; Nymphaeales; Nymphaeaceae
Source: the annotation of a RefSeq genome assembly